GACGAACGCUGGCGGCGUGCUUAACACAUGCCAGUCGAACGCUGAAGCUCAGCUUUUGUUGGGUGGAUGAGUGGCGAACGGGUGAGUAACACGUGAGUAACCUGCCCCCUUCUUUGGGAUAACGCCCGGAAACGGGUGCUAAUACUGGAUAUUCACUGGUCUUCGCAUGGGGGUUGGUGGAAAGGGUUUUUCUGGUGGGGGAUGGGCUCGCGGCCUAUCAGCUUGUUGGUGGGGUGAUGGCCUACCAAGGCUUUGACGGGUAGCCGGCCUGAGAGGGUGACCGGUAACAUUGGGACUGAGAUACGGCCCAGACUCCUACGGGAGGCAGCAGGGGGGAAUAUUGCACAAUGGGCGCAAGCCUGAUGCAGCGACGCCGCGUGAGGGAUGGAGGCCUUCGGGUUGUGAACCUCUUUCGCUCAUGGUCAAGCCGCAACAAUGGUUGUGGUGAGGGUAGUGGGUAAAGAAGCGCCGGCUAACUACGUG
This 483-nucleotide ribosomal RNA is filed under the name uncultured bacterium. Its description in RNAcentral is "partial 16S ribosomal RNA". It matches the Rfam family "Bacterial small subunit ribosomal RNA", at positions 28 to 507 of the family's 1533-position model. The record is from RNAcentral.